GGGGGAAACCUUGACGCAGCAACGCCGCGUGGGUGAUGAAGGCCUUCGGGUCGUAAAGCCCUGUCAGGUGGGAAGAAACUCGUGGAUGCUAAUAUCAUCCACGCUUGACGGUACCACCGGAGGAAGCACCGGCUAACUCCGUGCCAGCAGCCGCGGUAAUACGGAGGGUGCAAGCGUUGUUCGGAAUUACUGGGCGUAAAGCGCGUGUAGGCGGUUGGGCAAGUCAGAUGUGAAAGCCUUCUGCUCAACAGAAGAAGUGCAUUUGAAACUACCCGGCUAGAGUACGGGAGAGGAGAGUGGAAUUCCCGGUGUAGAGGUGAAAUUCGUAGAUAUCGGGAGGAACACCAGUGGCGAAGGCGGCUCUCUGGCCCGAUACUGACGCUGAGACGCGAAAGCGUGGGGAGCAAACAGGAUUAGAUACCCUGGUAGUCCACGCCCUAAACGAUGGGCACUAGGUGUAGGAGGUAUUGACCCCUUCUGUGCCGAAGCUAACGCAUUAAGUGCCCCGCCUGGGGAGUA
This 519-nucleotide ribosomal RNA is filed under the name uncultured bacterium. RNAcentral describes it as "bacterial SSU rRNA". It matches the Rfam family "Bacterial small subunit ribosomal RNA", at positions 373 to 882 of the family's 1533-position model. The record is from RNAcentral.